GCGAGUUGCAAGACUCCCAAACCAUUGUGAACCUACCUGUACCGUUCCUUCGGCGGGCGGCCUACGCCCUAACCUGCCGCCCCUCGCGGGCUGGCGGACCCGCCGAAGGCCCCCUAAACCCUUAGCUUCUUUGGCACCUCUGAGUACAACUUUUAAUAAGUCA
RNAcentral lists this unclassified non-coding RNA (163 nucleotides) under uncultured Ascomycota. RNAcentral's name for it is "sequence contains ITS1". Lineage: Eukaryota; Fungi; Ascomycota. The record is from RNAcentral.